AACCCAUGUUGUAGGCACUUCCGCAAAAGGUCCUUGAACCGUUCGCAAGUCUCAAACAAAGUUUCAAGCUCCAUCUGAACAAAUAAAGAUAUAUCAUUACGAAGCUU
Small nucleolar RNA from Dioscorea cayenensis subsp. rotundata (Guinea yam), 107 nucleotides. The record is from RefSeq and is a predicted model, not a curated record. Lineage: Eukaryota; Viridiplantae; Streptophyta; Magnoliopsida; Dioscoreales; Dioscoreaceae.